Molecule: long non-coding RNA, 75 nt
Filed under: Crocodylus porosus (Australian saltwater crocodile)
Lineage: Eukaryota; Metazoa; Chordata; Crocodylia; Crocodylidae
Description: Mammalian CPEB3 ribozyme (ENSCPRG00005011220.1)
Rfam family: Mammalian CPEB3 ribozyme
About the family: The mammalian CPEB3 ribozyme is a self cleaving RNA located in the second intron of the CPEB3 gene which belongs to a family of genes regulating messenger RNA polyadenylation.
Source: RNAcentral
UCACAAGUUCAAAGCCAUAGCACAAGUGCUCAUGGCAUGGCCCUGUCAGAUUUCAACAAAACUGCAAAUUCUGCU